GUCGAGCGAACUUUUGGGAGCUUGCUCCCAAAAGUUAUUUUGCGGACGGGUGAGUAACAAAUGGGCAACCUGCCUAUAAGACUGGGAUAACUUCGGGAAACCGGAGCUAAUACCGGAUAAUUCUUUUCCUCUCAUGAGGAAAAGCUGAAAGACGGUUUCGGCUGUCACUUAUAGAUGGGCCCGCGGCGCAUUAGCUAGUUGGUGAGGUAACGGCUCACCAAGGCAACGAUGCGUAGCCGACCUGAGAGGGUGAUCGGCCACACUGGGACUGAGACACGGCCCAGACUC
This 288-nucleotide unclassified non-coding RNA is filed under the name uncultured bacterium. RNAcentral's name for it is "partial contains 16S ribosomal RNA and 16S-23S ribosomal RNA intergenic spacer region". It matches the Rfam family "Bacterial small subunit ribosomal RNA", at positions 60 to 338 of the family's 1533-position model. The record is from RNAcentral.